Molecule: long non-coding RNA, 1140 nt
Organism: Eucalyptus grandis
Lineage: Eukaryota; Viridiplantae; Streptophyta; Magnoliopsida; Myrtales; Myrtaceae
Exons: 3
Source: RefSeq, a predicted model, not a curated record
UGCUGGGCCAGGCUGAUACUGCGGAAGCUUCUGGAGAGCAGCCAGAGAGGAAUAGAACAAGCGCUUCGGAGAUUCCAUCAAAUCAUACCAGAAUAUGGUCUCUAAAAUCUAAGGAAGUGCUGCGAGAAGUGUGAGUGGUUCUGAAGGAUGGCAAGUUCCAGAAGAAAGGAUCCUAACGGCUGGUGGUCAAUCAGGAAUUGAAAGGAUCGGCACUAUUCAAAUAUCAAAAGCUGCAUCAGCUGAAGGAAACACCCAAACUGAUGGACACGGUUUUUCACAACUUCAUCGAAGUAUUGGGUUGAUGCCAACGAGGAUGAGCAUGAUCAUAAUGAUGAUGGUGAUGAAAUCAGCAUUUGAUCAACACCACCAUACUAUGAAGACCGAUAGCAUUAUGUUCCUUUUUUAACUAUAUAACCUUGCUAUCUUGAUUUUACUGGUAAGUGGUUGUGCCUUCCAAUGCUUGAUGUUUCUCGUCCUAUGUUCCUUCGAACGGUUGGAGUAGUCCCUAGCUUGCUUUUUGUAAUGCCCUGGAUUUAACUCACUUGAGAUAUUGUCCACUUUGGUCCAUCCCAUACUGAGUUUCAUGGUUUUGUCCUUUGCUGUACAGCCAAGCACUUUCCUAAGAGGUCACCAAUUCUAGCAAUGUUCAAGCCUAAGCUCGCUUAACUUUGGAGUUCCAAAGCAAAGCUUGUCAUUAUGUCAAAAGGUGCCUCCGUGAAUUAAAUCCAGUUCAUGCACACGCACAUCCGGAUCGCUCUUCCCUUGUUCAGCGUAUAGUUUGGUUCAUCCCACCCCCUUCGCUAUCCUAGAAGUCUACUAGAAGCCGCUCCUUGUCUAGCCCUCUAGCCCCGGCAAUCACUCCUUGCCUUCUUCGAACUAGGUGUAUACAUUAGUGCCCGUGCCUAUUUAGCUAUUCCAGCAUCCAACGAAGCUGCCAUUUUAAUGCGCUUCUUUUCCCCCUCUUUUGUUUUUCAGUAUUAUGGCGAUGUGCUUUGCUGAAGGAGUUGUUGGUAUAGGUAUAUUUAUUAACUUGUAUUCUAUCAUAACUCAUUCCUGGCUUCCUGCCAAGAAAAACAGAAUGGUGCCGAUAGAUCCUACAGAGUCGCAUGCUUUAUGGACAGGACCUACAGUUUAGAACUA